GAUGAACGCUGGCGGCGUGCCUAAUACAUGCAAGUCGAGCGAACAGACGAGGAGCUUGCUCCUCUGACGUUAGCGGCGGACGGGUGAGUAACACGUGGAUAACCUACCUAUAAGACUGGGAUAACUUCGGGACACCGGAGCUAAUACCGGAUAAUAUAUUGAACCGCAUGGUUCAAUAGUGAAAGACGGUUUUGCUGUCACUUAUAGAUGGAUCCGCGCCGCAUUAGCUAGUUGGUAAGGUAACGGCUUACCAAGGCAACGAUGCGUAGCCGACCUGAGAGAGUGACCGGCCACACUGGAACUGAGACACGAUCCAGACUCCUACGGGAGGCAGCAGUAGGGAAUCUUCCGCAAUGGGCGAAAGCUUGACGGAGCAACGCCGCGUGAGUGAUGAAGGUCUUCGGAUCGUAAAACUCUGUUAUUAGGGAAGAACAAAUGUGUAAGUAACUAUGCACGUCUUGACGGUACCUAAUCAGAAAGCCACGGCUAACUACGUG
This 497-nucleotide ribosomal RNA is filed under the name uncultured bacterium. Its description in RNAcentral is "partial 16S ribosomal RNA". It matches the Rfam family "Bacterial small subunit ribosomal RNA", at positions 28 to 507 of the family's 1533-position model. The record is from RNAcentral.